CGAGACUUUCAGAGAUGGAUUGGUGCCUUCGGGAACUCUGAGACAGGUGCUGCAUGGCUGUCGUCAGCUCGUGUUGUGAAAUGUUGGGUUAAGUCCCGCAACGAGCGCAACCCUUAUCCUUUGUUGCCAGCGGUCCGGCCGGGAACUCAAAGGAGACUGCCAGUGAUAAACUGGAGGAAGGUGGGGAUGACGUCAAGUCAUCAUGGCCCUUACGAGUAGGGCUACACACGUGCUACAAUGGCGCAUACAAAGAGAAGCGACCUCGCGAGAGCAAGCGGACCUCAUAAAGUGCGUCGUAGUCCGGAUUGGAGUCUGCAACUCGACUCCAUGAAGUCGGAAUCGCUAGUAAUCGUAGAUCAGAAUGCUACGGUGAAUACGUUCCCGGGUCUUGUACACACCGA
This 401-nucleotide ribosomal RNA is filed under the name Enterobacter sp. OOR49. RNAcentral describes it as "bacterial SSU rRNA". It matches the Rfam family "Bacterial small subunit ribosomal RNA", at positions 990 to 1393 of the family's 1533-position model. Lineage: Bacteria; Pseudomonadati; Pseudomonadota; Gammaproteobacteria; Enterobacterales; Enterobacteriaceae. The record is from RNAcentral.